ACGUAGUGGCAGACGGGUGAGUAACGCAUAGGAAUCUACCUAGUAGUAUAGGAUAGCCACUAGAAGUGGUGGGUAAUACUGUAUAAUCCCUGCGGGGGAAAGAUUUAUCGCUACAUGAUGAGCCUAUGUUAGAUUAGCUAGUUGGUGGGGUAAUGGCCUACCAAGGCAGUGAUCUAUAGCUGGUCUGAGAGGAUGAUCAGCCACACUGGAACUGAGACACGGUCCAGACUCCUACGGGAGGCAGCAGUGGGGAAUAUUGGACAAUGGGCGCAAGCCUGAUCCAGCUAUGCCGCGUGAGUGAGGAAGGCCUUAGGGUUGUAAAACUCUUUCAGUGGGGAAGAUAAUGACGGUACCCACAGAAGAAGUCCCGGCAAACUCCGUGCCAGCAGCCGCGGUAAUACGGAGGGGGCAAGCGUUGUUCGGAAUUAUUGGGCGUAAAGGGCAUGUAGGUGGUUUGGUAAGUUAAAGGUGAAAUGCCAGGGCUUAACCCUGGAGCUGCUUUUAAUACUGC
This 511-nucleotide ribosomal RNA is filed under the name Anaplasma bovis. RNAcentral describes it as "bacterial SSU rRNA". It matches the Rfam family "Bacterial small subunit ribosomal RNA", at positions 90 to 636 of the family's 1533-position model. Lineage: Bacteria; Pseudomonadati; Pseudomonadota; Alphaproteobacteria; Rickettsiales; Anaplasmataceae. The record is from RNAcentral.